Panicum virgatum (switchgrass) is the source of this 2460-nucleotide RNA transcript. It is a transcript of the gene named putative RNA-binding protein Luc7-like 2, with no coding region annotated. The transcript has 13 exons. NCBI's taxonomy places the organism in Eukaryota, Viridiplantae, Streptophyta, Magnoliopsida, Poales, Poaceae. The record is from RefSeq and is a predicted model, not a curated record.
GAGCCCUCGACCCACACAACCCUCCGACCACAUCUCUUCUUCUUCGUCUCCUCCCCCGGAGAGCAGUCUCUCUCACCGGCGCGUUCAGUAGAAACCCUAAAAAACCCCGUUUCCUCCUUUCGCCCGCAGAGCCCUCCCCACGCCGGGGGUAGGGCUAAGUGGUUCCGCCCGCCAUGGACGCCAUGCGGAAGCAGCUGGACGUGCUCAUGGGCGCCAACCGCAACGGCGACGUGGAGGAGGUCAACCGGAACUACUACGACCGCGACGUCUGCCGCCUCUUCCUCGCGGGUUUAUGCCCGCACGACCUCUUCCAGCUCACGAAAAUGGAUCUCGGACCUUGUUCCAAGAUUCACUCGCUUCAGCUACGGAAAGACUAUGAAGAAGCGAAAUCAAAGGGAUCAGAGAAUUUUGAUAGAGAGCUUGAGGAUAUGAUAGAAAGGCUCAUCGUGGAGUGUGAUAGGAAAAUUCAAAGGGCCCUGAAACGGCUUGCGGAUGAGGAUGCCAAGGCAGCUAUUGCAAUAUCUGUGUCUGAGGUUACUUUGACAGACGAGAUACUGCAGCUGUCAAAACAAAUCAAGGAGAAAAUGAAAGAAGUUGAUACUUUUGAUUUUGAGGGGAGAACUGAUGAUAAAAUAAAGGCCCAGGAAGUGGUGGAAGAACUAAGAGCUAAAAGGGCUGAUAUGCAGGCUACCCUCUUGCUUGAUGCUUUUAACAAGGACAGAGCUUCAUUACCUACACCUGCUCCACCUCCUCAAGUAGCAGCAGUGCCACCACCUCCUCCUCCUGAUGCUCGUACUCAAGAAAUGAUUAAUGAAAAGCUUAAGAAAGCUGAAGAGCUUGGUGAACAAGGCAUGGUAGACGAAGCUCAGAAAGCUUUGGAAGAGGCAGAAGCUUUGAAAAAGCUGGCGCCACGGCCGGAGCAACCUUCAGAUCCUUCUAAAUAUACAGCUGUUGAUGUUAGAAUUACUGAUCAAAAAUUACGCCUCUGUGACAUAUGUGGAGCAUUUCUGAGUGUAUAUGACAAUGAUCGACGUCUUGCUGACCAUUUUGGUGGGAAGCUACACUUGGGCUACAUGCUGAUUCGUGAAAAACUGAAAGAACUUCAGGUAAAUUCCUGCAUGCCAUGCCCAAAUACAUUUAGGAUGCUGAAAAUUGAUGAAAUAAAUUAAGAAUCCAGGCUGUGUGAACAGUGAAGACAUAAGUACAAUCAAAUCAUAAUCCCUCACAUCUUACUAGGACUCACAUUCUGUUUGUCCAUUAGAAUAUGAGCUUGAUUUAUUCCUUUGACUUCUCUAAGUCUGUUAAGGUGCAAUUUAUCAGGUGCUGAGUGUAAUGUACCAUUUUCUGCUUUAAAGAGUUACUCUGUUUUGGGCCUUUUGGCAUCUGUGAGUUUUCUUAUCUCAAGAGCCUCAAGGAAUUAGUCCAUGUUGCGUGCAUGUGACAAUCAUCUUCACACCCAUGGCAACAACAGUCACUGUCUCUUGAGAAAUGUAAGCAUAGGAGCGUGCAGAACAUGGUAUGAUAAAUCAUGUUUACUUAAUUGUGACAAACUGCUCAUGUGCUCUGCUUAGUAUUAUGUUGAGCAGAAGCUGGAGGUUGCUUUUCUACUGGUGAGCCAUAUUAUUGUAGAUCUGGUGUAAUAAAUAUUACUGGUUAAGUUAUCCUGAAAGCAACGUCCUUUUGCCAACAUUUGCUGUAAGUGACAACUUGUUCUGCUGUUUAUCUGCUACCUGCUCCAUAAAUGUGUAAGAUUAAUUUUGCUGAAGCAGCCUUGCCUGUAAUGUAUCACUAUCACUUACCUUUUCUUUUGGAACAUUUGUCUCUUGUUUUCAAGUAUGCUAAAAUAUCAUCAUUUUUACUGUCAUAAAUACACUAUGCCAUCUUUCAGGAGCAGAGAAAUAAAAGAAGGAAGGACAGACCUGAAGAUGAUAGACGAUCAAGAGAGCACAGCAAGGACCGCAACAGUCGGGCAUCAAGGGAUAGAGAUACAGAAAGAAAAGACAGGAUAGACUCUCGAGAUGGUAGAAGAGGAGAUUAUGAUAGGGAUCGUGAUAGACGUCACGACAGGGAUCGUCGCCAUGACCGUGAUCGGGAUAGAGAUUAUGACCGCUCCCGCAGCUACGAUUCAAGGAGGAGAGAACGUUCACGGUCCAGGGAGCGCAGGCGCCAUGAGAGGUACUAAAUGCUGAUCCCUGGCUGAAAGAUUUUCAAGUGCUCUGGGGAAAUAGAGUUGUGAUUUGUAUCUUCUGAAAGUUCCCGCUAGUUACUGGUUGAUGCUGCCAAUCUGGUGCAUUCUGCAUCGUUUAGUACUGUUUUUAUAUACGACUGUUGUGCCAAGAACGUUCGCAUCACAUCAAAUUCUGGGGAACCGACUUGACAACUAAAUGAUCCGAGAAUGUUUUGUGUUAAAGUUUAAACUCAUCAGAAGUUGGAAGCACUUUUUUCUUGUUGUUACCCCAA